CACGGCGGUCACAGCAAGAGAGCCACACCUGGUCUCAUUCCGAACCCAGCAGUAAAGCCUCUUUGCGAUUCGGGUUGUACUACCCUCGGUGGGAAUCCCGAGACGCUGCCGGCC
Molecule: ribosomal RNA, 114 nt
Filed under: archaeon
Lineage: Archaea
Also listed under: 1 other name
Source: RNAcentral